RNAcentral lists this ribosomal RNA (1529 nucleotides) under uncultured Johnsonella sp. RNAcentral's name for it is "Bacterial small subunit ribosomal RNA". It matches the Rfam family "Bacterial small subunit ribosomal RNA". Lineage: Bacteria; Bacillati; Bacillota; Clostridia; Lachnospirales; Lachnospiraceae. The record is from RNAcentral.
AUGAGAGUUUGAUCCUGGCUCAGGAUGAACGCUGGCGGCGUGCUUAACACAUGCAAGUCGAACGGAGUUUAUACGGAAGGAGUCUUCGGACAACAAAAGUAUAAACUUAGUGGCGGACGGGUGAGUAACGCGUGGGUAACCUGCCUUAUACAAGGGGAUAACAGAGGGAAACUUCUGCUAAUACCGUAUAAAAAUAUUUUACGCAUGUAAGAUAUUUGAAAGAUUUAUCAGUAUGAGAUGGACCCGCGUCUGAUUAGGUAGUUGGUGAGGUAGAGGCUCACCAAGCCGACGAUCGGUAGCCGAUCUGAGAGGAUGACCGGCCACAUUGGGACUGAGACACGGCCCAAACUCCUACGGGAGGCAGCAGUGGGGAAUAUUGGACAAUGGGGGCAACCCUGAUCCAGCGACGCCGCGUGAGUGAAGAAGUAUUUCGGUAUGUAAAGCUCUAUCGAUAACGGAAGAAGAUGACAAGCCGUUAAGGAAGAAGCCCCGGCUAACUACGUGCCAGCAGCCGCGGUAAUACGUAGGGGGCAAGCGUUAUCCGGAUUUACUGGGUGUAAAGGGAGCGUAGACGGCAAAUAAAGUCUGAAGUGAAAUCCCGCAGCUCAACUGCGGAGUUGCUUUGGAAACUUAUAAGCUGGAGUGUCGGAGGGGUAAGCGGAAUUCCCAGUGUAGCGGUGAAAUGCGUAGAUAUUGGGAGGAACACCGGAGGCGAAGGCGGCUUACUGGAAGAUAACUGACGUUGAGGCUCGAAGGCGUGGGUAGCAAACAGGAUUAGAUACCCUGGUAGUCCACGCAGUAAACGAUGAAUACUAGGUGUCGGGAAGGAAUAACCUUUUCGGUGCCGUCGCAAACGCAAUAAGUAUUCCACCUGGGGAGUACGUUCGCAAGAAUGAAACUCAAAGGAAUUGACGGGGACCCGCACAAGCGGUGGAGCAUGUGGUUUAAUUCGAAGCAACGCGAAGAACCUUACCAAGUCUUGACAUGCCGUUGACAUACCCGUAACGGGGUAUUUCCUUCGGGACAACGGACACAGGUGGUGCAUGGUUGUCGUCAGCUCGUGUCGUGAGAUGUUGGGUUAAGUCCCGCAACGAGCGCAACCCUUGUCCUUAGUAGCCAGCAGUAAGAUGGGGACUCUAAGGAGACAGACGGAGAUAAUCCGGAGGAAGAUGGGGAUGACGUCAAAUCAUCAUGCCCCUUAUGAUUUGGGCUACACACGUGCUACAAUGGCGUAAACAAAGAGAAGCAAGAGUGCGAGCUUAAGCAAAUCUCAAAAAUAACGUCUCAGUUCGGAUUGCAGGCUGCAACUCGCCUGCAUGAAGCCGGAAUCGCUAGUAAUCGCAGAUCAGCAUGCUGCGGUGAAUACGUUCCCGGGUCUUGUACACACCGCCCGUCACACCAUGGGAGUCAGCAAUGCCCGAAGUCAGUGACCUAACCGCAAGGGAGGAGCUGCCGAAGGCAGGGCGGAUGACUGGGGUGAAGUCGUAACAAGGUAGCCGUAUCGGAAGGUGCGGCUGGAUCACCUCCUU